This is a long non-coding RNA of Rosa rugosa (rugosa rose), 1107 nucleotides long. RefSeq lists it as uncharacterized. NCBI's taxonomy places the organism in Eukaryota, Viridiplantae, Streptophyta, Magnoliopsida, Rosales, Rosaceae. The record is from RefSeq and is a predicted model, not a curated record. The transcript is spliced from 3 exons.
CCCAAAAUAAACCCAGCUCUCUCUCUCUCCAUCUCUAGACCUUCGACGACACCAACGUCAGCCAAAACGGUGACGUUUCCAACCGCGCCGCCCUUCUCGCUCUCCGCUCCGCACCGCACCAGACCCCUGUAGCUUACUGGUUUUGCCCCAAGACGACGAAGAUGCCCAUUUUCUCUCUACCUUCUUCUUCUUCACACCCAAAUUAAUCACCAUAACCACCACUGAGCUCUCUCUCCAUACCCAACCACCAAUCCCAUUGCAAUCAACACCAAGCCUAAAUGCCUUCAUAUCUUCAUGAAAUUACCCUUUACAUUCUCAGAAAACCCACUUCAUCACUUUAGAUUUACUAGGCCUGAUUUGGAAAUACAUAGUGGAGAAUGAACAACUCUUUCAUUCUUACGAAACUCUGCUCGUCAGCUAACUUCGGCGUCUAAAAACUCCAUCUUCUGUUGCUCAGAUAGUCACGACUUCUUCAUAAAAGUUGUUCAAAAUCGAGUCUUCUAAACUGUCUUCAAAUGUCAUGAAAAUCCAACGGUUGAAUCUUCCAAAAUCAAGUCCCUCUUCGAAAUGGGUCGAGUUCUUCUCUUGAGAUUGAAUUCAAUUCAUGAAGUACUCAUUUCAAUCUUGAGCAAGUUGAAGCCAUCAAGGAGAGAGAGAGGCAAAAGGAGAACAUAUGCAAUCUGGGUACCCCACCCAGCCCAACACCAACGCCGCCCAGCACCCGCCGAAACCCACCUAUCUGCUCUGGGUAUUUGAGUUUUUGUUAACGAAAUCCGGGAUCUAGUGAUGAUUCUGGUCAUGGGUAUGCAUAUCCUCGGUCCAGCGAGAAGAUGAGGAUGAGAGCUUCCGGAUAAAGACCCUCUAUUAACCAGACGGAGAUCAGGAGAGAUGUGAAAGAAGAAGAGGUAAAAAGAAAAAAAAGAAAAGAAAAAAAAGAAGAAUAAAAUUAAUUAAAAAAGAAAAAGAAAAAGUAAGUGAGGGUAUAAUAGACUUUUUAGGGGGGAAACGACCGCCACGUCAGCAAGAUAACGGAGACUUUGACGGAUGCUUGACGGCAGGGACCAAUUGAGAGGAAAUUGGGAGUUUAGGGACUUUUUAGGUGAAAUU